UACGUAGGGUGCGAGCGUUGUCCGGAAUUAUGGGGCGUAAAGAGCUCGUAGGCGGUCUGUCGCGUCGGAUGUGAAAGCCCGGGGCUUAACCCCGGGUCUGCAUUCGAUACGGGCAGACUAGAGUGUGGUAGGGGAGCUCGGAAUUCCUGGUGUAGCCGUGAAAGGCGCAGAUAUCAGGAGGAACAACGGUGGCGAAGGCGGAUCUCUGGGCCAUUACUGACGCUGAGGAGCGAAAGCGUGGGGAGCGAACAGG
Molecule: unclassified non-coding RNA, 253 nt
Filed under: uncultured Actinomycetes bacterium
Lineage: Bacteria; Bacillati; Actinomycetota; Actinomycetes
Description: uncultured actinobacterium contains 16S-23S intergenic spacer region
Rfam family: Bacterial small subunit ribosomal RNA
Source: RNAcentral